Crotalus tigris (Tiger rattlesnake) is the source of this 1188-nucleotide long non-coding RNA. RefSeq lists it as uncharacterized. NCBI's taxonomy places the organism in Eukaryota, Metazoa, Chordata, Lepidosauria, Squamata, Viperidae. The transcript is spliced from 2 exons. The record is from RefSeq and is a predicted model, not a curated record.
AGCAGAAGUGAUGUGUGGAGAAUGUGUCAGCAAAGUAUUUGGGAGGUAGUAUCCCUUUAAGAGACUGUCUGAGGGAAAUGACUUGAACCGUUUGUACAUAACUGACUGCCUUGUAGUCCAUAUGCUCCCUGAAUGUUGUUGUUUCAUGUUGUAUAUUAAACCACAGUUCUUUUGAUAAACCACUGUCAGAUGUUUGUGAUCCUGUGUUGCACAAGAAGAAAACAAAUAAAAGGCUGCAAUAAUUUAUAUUUAUCAACAACACAGAGGAGACAAGGAGAAGCUGAAGAGUUUGUCCAUGUGCACUCUAGAAGGCAGUCAAGUUCUAUGAACUAAGGGGGGAAAAAUCAAGCUUGCAGCCUCGGUGAAGCUUGUUAAUGGACACUGAGUGACCAAACUCCACUUUCUUAACUAUCUUAUUUAAACAUUUUAGAGAUCUUUGGAAUUGCAGUGAAAAUUGACUAUCUGGUGAUUAUUCCUACAACAUGGGCCAUGAUUAAAAGGAAAGAGAAAAGGAAAAAAAGUGUAAGAAUUUAAAAACAAUCUACAGUAAAAAGAUCUGCAAAAAGAAGGGACAGAUGGAAUUUCCAGGGAAGAAAUGGCAAACUGAGAAUGGAACCAACAACUGUGAUGGAAUAAAGAAUCUGACUGACAAGCUGACAUCAUGACUAUUCUACAAAAAAGAGGAUAGGGACCACUCACAAGUGUUCCAGGCAGCUGCUACUCAUGAGAAGAGCAGAAAAUAAUAUUUUCCAAUGGGUUUAGAGUGCUGAGAGAUGGGGGAGGAACCAUUAUAGCCCAAACUACAGUUCAACAAUUUUAAAAAGGACACAAGGUUCACAUACAGGCAGUCUUUGACUUAUAGCCACAGUGGAGCUCAGAAUUUCUAUCCUACGUUACUGUGGUCUUAAUUCAAGACACCAUGUGAACAGAUUCAGUUUUGCAACUGUUUUUAAGACCAUCAUACAGCAAAAAGCUGCAAUCAUUAAAUAAAUCCAAUCUCCUGAAUAGGCCAAAACCCAGCAAAACAUGCUAGAAACUAGUAAAAAAAAAACAUAACAAACCAUGGUCAUGUGACUGUGAUAGGUGCAGUCUGCUUGCCAAGCAUCCAAAAUGUAAUCACAUGACUAUGUAAGUAGCUUCUUUUAAAGUCCAUCAUAACUGAACAGUAAUUAAAUUUCCUUCUUCUAA